This 253-nucleotide ribosomal RNA is filed under the name uncultured bacterium. RNAcentral's name for it is "partial 16S ribosomal RNA". It matches the Rfam family "Bacterial small subunit ribosomal RNA", at positions 524 to 776 of the family's 1533-position model. The record is from RNAcentral.
UACGGGGGGGGCAAGCGUUGUUCGGAAUUACUGGGCGUAAAGGGCUCGUAGGCGGCCAACUAAGUCGGACGUGAAAUCCCCAGGCUCAACCUGGGAACUGCGUCCGAUACUGAUUGGCUUGAAUCCGGGAGAGGGAUGCAGAAUUCCAGGUGUAGCGGUGAAAUGCGUAGAUAUCUGGAGGAAUACCGGUGGCGAAGGCGGCAUCCUGGACCGGCAUUGACGCUGAUGAGCGAAAGCUAGGGGAGCAAACGGG